GAGAUGGUCUGAUUACCACGGCAACGUGAUCCAAGCAUCAGGAGGGAGAACCAUGCUUGGGGCUCGUGAAGAUAUCCAAUCUUCAUGCUACCUAUUCUUUUUCAAGGAUGGAGAGAGGGAUUUGUGUAUUGAUGCACAAACUUUUCCCUGCUUAUGCCACAAGGACCUGGACACCGUUGGAAGGAGAAUCAAUCAUUCCUCCAAGGAACCCAACGGAGAUCCAUGCUUCUCCUAAAGAGAGACCUCUUUUUACCCCUAUUACCGCAGAAGAGCUGGAAAACAUUCACUUCACUCAGUCAGAUUUCGAGCAAGGCCGCUUCUAAAACCCUGGUGCCGGGCACGGAGCCGGGUGUCCUACCCGGGCCACCGGCCAGAAAAGCCAGAUUGUCUCUCCCUGAAAAGAACGCGGAGAACCACCCACCGCCCGGCGGUAACCCACAGGCUCAUAUUCAGGGAAAAAAAACGCCCCGCCAGUCAAGAUGACUUUGCGAUAGCCACUCCGCCGAAAAGGAGGAACAGCAAGAAAGUCUUGAGUGCCAACGAAACGCCGACAAGAUCCGGAAAGCAACAAAA
Molecule: long non-coding RNA, 573 nt
Organism: Myripristis murdjan (pinecone soldierfish)
Lineage: Eukaryota; Metazoa; Chordata; Actinopteri; Holocentriformes; Holocentridae
Exons: 3
Source: RefSeq, a predicted model, not a curated record